UACGUAGGGCGCAAGCGUUGUCCGGAUUUAUUGGGCGUAAAGAGCUCGUAGGCGGCCUGUUGCGUCGACUGUGAAAACUCACGGCUUAACCGUGGAACUGCAGUCGAUACGGGCAGGCUAGAGUUCGGUAGGGGAGACUGGAAUUCCUGGUGUAGCGGUGAAAUGCGCAGAUAUCAGGAGGAACACCGGUGGCGAAGGCGGGUCUCUGGGCCGAAACUGACGCUGAGGAGCGAAAGCGUGGGGAGCGAACAGG
RNAcentral lists this ribosomal RNA (253 nucleotides) under uncultured bacterium. RNAcentral describes it as "partial 16S ribosomal RNA". It matches the Rfam family "Bacterial small subunit ribosomal RNA", at positions 524 to 776 of the family's 1533-position model. The record is from RNAcentral.